UCUCUCGCAUUCGAUUAGAGUUUGAUCAUGGCUCAGGACGAUUCUCCGGCGGUGUGCUUAACACAUGCAAGUGGUGCGACGAACCAGGCUUCGGCCUGGGGCAAAGCCGCGAACGGGCGAGUAACACGUGGGUAAUCUGCCCCGAUGACCGGGACAACCCGAGGAAACUCGGGCUAAUACCGGAUGUGGUGACCAGACAUAAGUCCGGUUACUAAAGGUAGCUUCGGCUUCCGCAUUGGGAGGGGCCCGCGGCCCAUUAGCUAGUUGGUGGGGUCAAGGCCUACCAAGGCAACGAUGGGUAGCUGGUCUGAGAGGACGAUCAGCCACACUGGGACUGAGACACGGCCCAGACUCCUACGGGAGGCAGCAGUGGGGAAUCUUGCGCAAUGCGCGAAAGCGUGACGCAGCAACACCGCGUGAGGGAAGACGGCCUUAGGGUUGUAAACCUCUUUCAGAUGGGACGAAGGUUGUCCGGUGAAUAGCCGUGAUGAUUGACGGUACCGUCAGAAGAAGCUCCGGCUAACUACGUGCCAGCAGCCGCGGUAAUACGUAUGGAGCGAGCGUUGUCCGGAAUCAUUGGGGCGUAAGAGCGCGUAAGUGGAUCAAUUAAUUCUGCUGUGAAAGUCGAGGCUCAACUUUCGAAAGCCGUUGGAUACUGUUGAUCUAGAGUACGGAAGAGCGGAGUGGGA
This 689-nucleotide ribosomal RNA is filed under the name uncultured Actinomycetes bacterium. RNAcentral describes it as "bacterial SSU rRNA". It matches the Rfam family "Bacterial small subunit ribosomal RNA", at positions 1 to 666 of the family's 1533-position model. Lineage: Bacteria; Bacillati; Actinomycetota; Actinomycetes. The record is from RNAcentral.